Molecule: small nuclear RNA, 104 nt
Organism: Suncus etruscus (white-toothed pygmy shrew)
Lineage: Eukaryota; Metazoa; Chordata; Mammalia; Eulipotyphla; Soricidae
Source: RefSeq, a predicted model, not a curated record
GUGCUAGCUUCGGCAGCACAUAUACUAGAAUUGGAACGAUACAGAGAAGAUUAGCAUGCCCCCUGUGCAAGGAUAACAGAGCUUAAGAAAUUGAAAAAUAAUCA